This 930-nucleotide ribosomal RNA is filed under the name Sordariomycetes sp. genotype 71. RNAcentral's name for it is "eukaryotic LSU rRNA". The stretch from base 445 to 930 matches the Rfam family "Eukaryotic large subunit ribosomal RNA", at positions 1 to 499 of the family's 3401-position model. Lineage: Eukaryota; Fungi; Ascomycota; Sordariomycetes. The record is from RNAcentral.
GGCGCUGGCGGUCCGGAAGGCCCUCGGGCCCCCGGAUCCUCGGGUCUCCCGCUCGCGGGAGGCUGCCCGCCGGAGUGCCGAAACCAAACUCUUGAUAUUUUAUGUCUCUCUGAGUAAACUUUUAAAUAAGUCAAAACUUUCAACAACGGAUCUCUUGGUUCUGGCAUCGAUGAAGAACGCAGCGAAAUGCGAUAAGUAAUGUGAAUUGCAGAAUUCAGUGAAUCAUCGAAUCUUUGAACGCACAUUGCGCUCGCCAGUAUUCUGGCGAGCAUGCCUGUUCGAGCGUCAUUUCAACCAUCAAGCUCUGCUUGCGUUGGGGAUCCGCGGCUGCCCGCGGUCCCUCAAAAACAGUGGCGGGCUCGCUAGUCACACCGAGCGUAGUAACUCUACAUCGCUAUGGUCGUGCGGCGGGUUCUUGCCGUAAAACCCCCCAAUUUCUAAGGUUGACCUCGGAUCAGGUAGGAAUACCCGCUGAACUUAAGCAUAUCAAUAAGCGGAGGAAAAGAAACCAACAGGGAUUGCCCUAGUAACGGCGAGUGAAGCGGCAACAGCUCAAAUUUGAAAUCUGGCUUCGGCCCGAGUUGUAAUUUGUAGAGGAAGCUUUUGGUGAGGCACCUUCUGAGUCCCCUGGAACGGGGCGCCAUAGAGGGUGAGAGCCCCGUAUAGUCGGAUGCCGAUCCAAUGUAAAGCUCCUUCGACGAGUCGAGUAGUUUGGGAAUGCUGCUCAAAAUGGGAGGUAAAUUUCUUCUAAAGCUAAAUACCGGCCAGAGACCGAUAGCGCACAAGUAGAGUGAUCGAAAGAUGAAAAGCACUUUGAAAAGAGGGUUAAAUAGCACGUGAAAUUGUUGAAAGGGAAGCGUUUGUGACCAGACUUGCGCCGUUCCGAUCAUCCGGUGUUCUCACCGGUGCACUCGGGACGGCUCAGGCCAG